This 498-nucleotide ribosomal RNA is filed under the name uncultured bacterium. RNAcentral describes it as "partial 16S ribosomal RNA". It matches the Rfam family "Bacterial small subunit ribosomal RNA", at positions 29 to 523 of the family's 1533-position model. The record is from RNAcentral.
AUUGAACGCUGGCGGCAUGCUUUACACAUGCAAGUCGAACGGUAACAGGCCGCAAGGUGCUGACGAGUGGCGAACGGGUGAGUAAUGCAUCGGAACGUGCCCAGUCGUGGGGGAUAACGCAGCGAAAGCUGCGCUAAUACCGCAUACGAUCUAUGGAUGAAAGCGGGGAACCGUAAGGCCUCGCGCGAUUGGAGCGGCCGAUGUCAGAUUAGGUAGUUGGGGGGGUAAAGGCUCACCAAGCCAACGAUCUGUAGCUGGUCUGAGAGGACGACCAGCCACACUGGGACUGAGACACGGCCCAGACUCCUACGGGAGGCAGCAGUGGGGAAUUUUGGACAAUGGGCGCAAGCCUGAUCCAGCAAUGCCGCGUGCAGGAUGAAGGCCUUCGGGUUGUAAACUGCUUUUGUACGGAGCGAAAAGGCUUCCACUAAUACUGGGGGCUCAUGACGGUACCGUAAGAAUAAGCACCGGCUAACUACGUGCCAGCAGCCGCCGCCG